CGGUUCGGGGCGCUGCCCGUGCCGGGGCGCCGCGCCCGUCCCGCGCCCGCUAGCGUCCCCACGCCCCGCGCCCUGCCGCGCCUCGGGCUCGCUUGCGGCCGCCGGGGCUCGCCUCCAGCGCCAGCGUGGACCCCCCGGCUUUGUGUCUGUAGGUCUCAGCGUGUUUUGUCCCGGUUCAGGCUUCUCUAAAAAACGGCAGGGAGGAACAGGAGGCGGACACCAUCCCCUCGCUCCACCUCCUUGACAGGGGUUUUCCUCCUUCUCCUCCCCUUUCUCCCUCCGGCGCUCCGCAGCUCUCUCCUCCCUUUCCCCUCCCUCUGCGCUCGGGUCUCGGGAUUUCGCUCGGGUGUCACGUUACUGCUUCUGCUGGGGGCGGAGGUGGGGGGGCGGCGAUUAUUCGCAACAAGGAGGAAACUUUCUGGGUGGUGGUGGUGUUGUUUUUUCCUUCCCCUGUUCUUCACAAUCUGGCCGCGGUUUCUGCGCCACCAGCGACCUCUUGGGGGCCCCGCUGACUUCCCUCUCGUAAACAGUCACCGGCAGGAAGAAGCACGACUGACUUUUACAUUUUUUGAAGUUCAGAAACUUGAUUCUCCUUAUAUAUCCCGUGCAAGCUGCUUACACAAGGCCGGCAAAAGGUACUAGGAUACAGGCUCAAGACUGCUGAGAUGGGAAAAGAGUAAGCGGUGCGAGUUAUGUUCAAACACGCCCCAGAGGGCCAGGCUUAGCGCCCAGACCCCCGGGAAGGGGAGCAGAAGAGGACACUCUCUUCUUGCUUUUCCUGGUCCUACAACUACUUCACCUCUUAGUGACCAGAGAGGCAAGUGGGGGGUGCAUAGCGGACUCUAGGAGGUCAUUGCCGUGGUAGACAUGAAGGGGAAAGAGCCCAGUCCCCCUAUACGCCGAUUUCAUUGCUGCCUCUCUUCCCUCCAUGGGGAAGCUUCUGGACCUGAAAGAACCUCCCGAGGCGGAAGAGGCUCCAUCGUAGACACAGAUCCUCUGAUGGGGUGGUUGAUCCACGGAAGGGCUGCUCCAAUCAGCCCCACUUUAUUGCUUGUCUGGUGAAACCCAGGCUCAGUUAAACCCAAUCAUGCAACUGGACUGGAUUGCAGAAAAACACACAGCGCUGGGCGCUGUGUAAGGUUGGCUUGUUGGCAGUGAAAGUGGCAGCAGGAAGAUGAGUCAUCCAGUAAAAUGGCUGGAAUGUGGACGUGGAAGGGGCUCAGCUUCUGUCAUGCACAUGAGGACAGUACUCCAAGGAAUAUCAGAGAAACUGGUGAAAGGAACCUGGGAACCUGAAUGCUCUUAAGAAGCGAGCCAUCUGUCUGCUGUGGAUUGCCUACUGCCAUUUGGACUCCCUUGUGAAGAAAAUAAAGUAAAUUCUCUCUACAAUCACUGUAUUUUGGGGUCUCUAUUUUAACCUCAUAGCCCACACCAUAAAUAAUUCACAUAACAAGAAAGAUGACAGACACUUUGGGAGGCCAAGGUGAGUAGAUCACCUGAGGUCAGGAGUUGGAGACCAGCCUGGCCAACAUGGCAAAAUCCCGUCUCUACU
Piliocolobus tephrosceles (Ugandan red Colobus) is the source of this 1552-nucleotide long non-coding RNA. RefSeq lists it as uncharacterized. Lineage: Eukaryota; Metazoa; Chordata; Mammalia; Primates; Cercopithecidae. The transcript has 4 exons. The record is from RefSeq and is a predicted model, not a curated record.